This 314-nucleotide ribosomal RNA is filed under the name uncultured bacterium. Its description in RNAcentral is "partial 16S ribosomal RNA". It matches the Rfam family "Bacterial small subunit ribosomal RNA", at positions 499 to 807 of the family's 1533-position model. The record is from RNAcentral.
UUAUAAGAGACAGCAGUAGCCGCGGUAAUACGAAGGGUGCAAGCGUUACUCGGAAUUACUGGGCGUAAAGCGUGCGUAGGUGGUGGUUUAAGUCCGUUGUGAAAGCCCUGGGCUCAACCUGGGAAUUGCAGUGGAUACUGGGUCACUAGAGUGUGGUAGAGGAUAGUGGAAUUUCCGGUGUAGCAGUGAAAUGCGUAGAGAUCGGAAGGAACAUCUGUGGCGAAGGCGACUAUCUGGGCCAACACUGACACUGAGGCACGAAAGCGUGGGGAGCAAACAGGAUUAGAUACCCGCGUAGUCCCUGUCUCUUAUAC